Molecule: ribosomal RNA, 1461 nt
Filed under: metagenome
Description: bacterial LSU rRNA
Rfam family: Bacterial large subunit ribosomal RNA
Source: RNAcentral
GUCGGGAGCUAAGGUGAGGCCUAACGGCGUAGCCGAUGCACAGACGGUAAAGAUUCCGUCACCACCAAAAGAGUUAAACACAGGGACACAUUUGAAGUCUCGGAGCCGGGUGUUGGUUCCGGUAGCGAUCGAGGGAAAUUAGUACCGAAGUCCGGGAUGGAAGAUGGCGAGAAAAGCUGUGUGUAUUUCUGCGGUGUCCGUACCGCAAACCGACACAGGUAGGUAGGAAGAAGAUUCUAAGGCCAACGGGAGAAGGGUUGUUAAGGAACUCGGCAAAUUGACCCCGUAACUUCGGGAGAAGGGGUGCUCCAGAGAUGGAGCCGCAGAGAAUCGGCCCAAGCAACUGUUUACCAAAAACACAGGUUUGUGCUAAAUCGAAAGAUGACGUAUACGAGCUGACGCCUGCCCGGUGCUGGAAGGUUAAGAGGAGAUGUGCAAGCAUUGAAUCGAAGCCCCAGUGAACGGCGGCCGUAACAAUAACGGUCCUAAGGUAGCGAAAUUCCUUGUCAGGUAAGUUCUGACCCGCAUGAAAGGCGUAAUGAUUUGGGCACUGUCUCGACAGCCCGCCCGGCGAAAUUGUAGUACCGGUGAAGAUGCCGGUUACCCGCGACAAGACGGAAAGACCCCAUGGAGCUUUACUGUAGCCUAAUAUUGGGUUUCGAUGUUGCAUGCACAGGAUAGAUGGGACACUAGGAAGCAAGUGCUUUGGCAUUUGUGGAGUGGCCGUUGGGAUACCAUCCUUGCGAUAUUGGAAUUCUAACCUGCGCCUUUGAAUCAAGGCGGGGGACAUUGUUAGGUGGGCAGUUUGACUGGGGCGGUCGCCUCCUAAAGAGUAACGGAGGCGUUCAAAGGUUCGCUCAGCUUGAACGGAAAUCAAGCAAAAGAGUGCAAACGCAGAAGCGAGCCUAACUGCGAGACUGACGGGUCGAGCAGUAACGAAAGUUGGAGUUAGUGAUCCGGUGGUAUGUGAGUGGAAAUGCCAUCGCUCAACGGAUAAAAGUUACCCUGGGGAUAACAGGCUGAUCUCCCCAAGAGUCCACAUCGACGGGGAGGUUUGGCACCUCGAUGUCGGCUCAUCGCAUCCUGGGGCUGUAUUCGGUCCCAAGGGUUUGGCUGUUCGCCAAUUAAAGCGGUACGCGAGCUGGGUUCAGAACGUCGUGAGACAGUUCGGUCCCUAUCUGUCGUGGGCGCAGGAUAUUUGAUGGGAGCUGUUCCUGGUACGAGAGGACCGGAGCGGACGUACCUCUGGCGCACCAGUUGUUCUGCCAAGGGCAUAGCUGGGCAACUAUGUACGGAUCGGAUAAACGCUGAAAGCAUCUAAGCGUGAAGCCGACCCAAAGAUAAGAUAUCCCAUUGUUUUAAACAAGUAAGACCCCUUGAAGACUACAAGGUUGAUAGGCUUGAUGUGUAAGUGGAGUGAUCCAUUCAGCAAGCAUGUACUAAUAGGUCGAGGGCUUGACC